Molecule: small nucleolar RNA, 77 nt
Organism: Nannospalax galili (Upper Galilee mountains blind mole rat)
Lineage: Eukaryota; Metazoa; Chordata; Mammalia; Rodentia; Spalacidae
Gene: SNORD83
Rfam family: Small nucleolar RNA SNORD83
About the family: U83 (SNORD83) and U84 (SNORD84) are members of the C/D class of snoRNA which contain the C (UGAUGA) and D (CUGA) box motifs. They act as guanine methylation guides but lack complementarity to ribosomal RNA.
Source: Ensembl
GCCAUAUGAUGUUUAUAUUUUCGAAAAUGAGCACUCUGCUCAGUGCUGACCUUUAUCUAUCACCCUUGACUGAGGCA